CCUACGGGUGGCUGCAGUAAGGAAUAUUGGUCAAUGGACGGAAGUCUGAACCAGCCAUGCCGCGUGCAGGAAGACGGCCCUAUGGGUUGUAAACUGCUUUUGCAGGGGAAUAAACCUCUUUACGUGUAAAGAGCUGAAUGUACUCUGAGAAUAAGGAUCGGCUAACUCCGUGCCAGCAGCCGCGGUAAUACGGAGGAUCCAAGCGUUAUCCGGAUUUAUUGGGUUUAAAGGGUGCGUAGGUGGCCUGUUAAGUCAGGGGUGAAAGACGGUAGCUCAACUAUCGCAGUGCCCUUGAUACUGAUGGGCUUGAAUGAACUAGAGGUAGGCGGAAUGUGACAAGUAGCGGUGAAAUGCAUAGAUAUGUCACAGAACACCAAUUGCGAAGGCAGCUUACUAUGGUUUUAUUGACACUGAGGCACGAAAGCGUGGGGAUCAAACAGGAUUAGAUACCCCGGUAGUCC
Molecule: ribosomal RNA, 461 nt
Filed under: uncultured bacterium
Lineage: Bacteria
Description: bacterial SSU rRNA
Rfam family: Bacterial small subunit ribosomal RNA
Source: RNAcentral